This 29-nucleotide non-coding RNA is filed under the name Rattus norvegicus (Norway rat). The record is from RNAcentral. Lineage: Eukaryota; Metazoa; Chordata; Mammalia; Rodentia; Muridae.
UAUUUGAUUACUUGAAUGAAAUUAUGUUA